AGCCAGACUCCUACGGGAGGCAGCAGUGGGGGAUAUUGCACAAUGGGGGAAACCCUGAUGCAGCGACGCCGCGUGGGCGAAGAAGUAUUUCGGUAUGUAAAGCCCUAUCAGCAGGGAAGAAGAAAUGACGGUACCUGAGUAAGAAGCACCGGCUAAAUACGUGCCAGCAGCCGCGGUAAUACGUAUGGUGCAAGCGUUAUCCGGAUUUACUGGGUGUAAAGGGGGCGCAGACGGCAGCGCAAGCCAGGAGUGAAAGCCCGGGGCCCAACCCCGGGACUGCUCUUGGAACUGCGCGGCUGGAGUGCAGGAGGGGCAGGCGGAAUUCCUGGUGUAGCGGUGAAAUGCGUAGAUAUCAGGAGGAACACCGGUGGCGAAGGCGGCCUGCUGGACUGCGACUGACGUUGAGGCCCGAAAGCGUGGGGAGCAAACAGGAUUAGAUACCCUUGUA
RNAcentral lists this ribosomal RNA (448 nucleotides) under uncultured bacterium. RNAcentral's name for it is "partial 16S ribosomal RNA". It matches the Rfam family "Bacterial small subunit ribosomal RNA", at positions 329 to 792 of the family's 1533-position model. The record is from RNAcentral.